Non-coding RNA from Manacus vitellinus (golden-collared manakin), 45 nucleotides. Lineage: Eukaryota; Metazoa; Chordata; Aves; Passeriformes; Pipridae. The record is from Rfam.
CCAAAGGCUCUUUUCAGAGCCACCUACAGCAUCACUAAAGAGCUA